RNAcentral lists this ribosomal RNA (495 nucleotides) under uncultured bacterium. RNAcentral describes it as "partial 16S ribosomal RNA". It matches the Rfam family "Bacterial small subunit ribosomal RNA", at positions 28 to 507 of the family's 1533-position model. The record is from RNAcentral.
GACGAACGCUGGCGGCGUGCCUAAUACAUGCAAGUAGAACGCUGAAGGAGGAGCUUGCUUCUCCAGAUGAGUUGCGAACGGGUGAGUAACGCGUAGGUAACCUGCCUGGUAGCGGGGGAUAACUAUUGGAAACGAUAGCUAAUACCGCAUAACAGUAGAUGUUGCAUGACAUUUGCUUAAAAGGUGCAAUUGCAUCACUACCAGAUGGACCUGCGUUGUAUUAGCUAGUUGGUGAGGUAACGGCUCACCAAGGCGACGAUACAUAGCCGACCUGAGAGGGGGAUCGGCCACACUGGGACUGAGACACGGCCCAGACUCCUACGGGAGGCAGCAGUAGGGAAUCUUCGGCAAUGGACGGAAGUCUGACCGAGCAACGCCGCGUGAGUGAAGAAGGUUUUCGGAUCGUAAAGCUCUGUUGUAAGAGAAGAACGAGUGUGAGAGUGGAAAGUUCACACUGUGACGGUAUCUUACCAGAAAGGGACGGCUAACUACGUG